Molecule: long non-coding RNA, 7350 nt
Filed under: Pelobates cultripes (western spadefoot toad)
Lineage: Eukaryota; Metazoa; Chordata; Amphibia; Anura; Pelobatidae
Source: RNAcentral
AUUUAUUUAAAUGUUAUGCACCUUAAAGCAUCAUUGUGCAAUGUUAAGGUGUAGGAAAACAACUUUAGAAUUCUCCUUAACAUAAACAUUGUGCCUUUUUAUCCUAUUAUUGAACAGUUUCUUGUUAUAUGCUGAACCAAGUAUAGGCAACAUUUGGUGCUUUUUGGUAGCAGAUCAUACCCUGCCAUACCCUGUACGUCGCUGUCACUUAUGCGAUAUUCCACCUAAUUGUGGGUCUGGAAGAUCAUGGUGAGACCUGGCUAUUGCUGGACUCUUGUGUCUGGCAGUAGACCCUCCAAGGAUGCCCAAGGCAUCCAAUCUCCGUAGCACUAUACCACAGGGAUCUUUACUAUGGGAUAUCGUUUUUGUACAGGAAUAAUGUCCAUGCAACCAGAAUUCAGCAAUAGGUUUCUAGAGUCUACCCUGGUUUUUGGAUCACUGUGUAGGCUGUCAGUCAUAGCAUUCCAAUACUUGUCUGCCAAUGUUGAAGAGCUGUAUGCAGUUAUUGUGCUGGUACCCAAUGUCAUCAGCAGCGUGAAGCAGUCCACCAAUAGUGAUUAGUUAGCUCCUGUGUUGCUUGAUUGUCCUGGAAACUAAUCACAGGGAUUACUGUCCGCUAAAGAAAUGUGAUCACUUUCAAUGAGUCUUACAGCAUGUUAGGGUUAGCUAAUUAGCGUUAGGUAGGGUUAAAAUUAAUUAGCUGUGGGGUUAGCAAAGGCUAAGUUUAGUUCGGUUUAGCGAGGGCUAGCAUGGACUAAGGCUACCUUGGGUUACACAUAACAUCAACGUUUAACUCUGGACAGUAUGGUGACUCAGAUAUUGUCACUUCAUCAAAGUGUCUCUGGGAAGCAAGCAAAAAAGCAUGUAUAUAAGUUUCACCAAAACUAGCAAAUAUAUACGUGUUGAGUAUUGCUGUACUCGAGAGAUGCUGGGGAAUCCAAAUCUGAAGUGUUUUUAGUAGUAGAACACACAAACCUGUGGCUUUCACCCUUAAAAUUCAAUAUUUUUGUGAAUGCAGCAGAAAAUGAUAAAAAGUGAAUAGACUAAGAAUGCAACAUAUUAAAUAUGUCAUAUAAUCUUUUGCCAAUGCUAGGAUAUGGUGGGGGGAAAAGUGCAGUUGAGGUCUGCUCUUUUUUUAUUUAAAUUUUUUUUUUUUUUUUUUAACUAUAGUGACAUGGGCCCACGAAUUCAGUCUGAACACUGAAAAUGUCUGACAUUUGACCUUAUAACUUCUCAAAAAUCUGGCAGAUGUCUACAUGAGGUUAUUGCUAUACACAGGGGAAGUAUACUCUUUAAACUAGUGGGCCAUACACAGUCUGUAAAAUUACGUACCCACAAAAAUAAAAGGUGUGAUAAACAUAAAGAACUAAAUGUACUGUAGUUGUUAAUUUUACUGGUCGUUGAUGAUAAAAUGGUUACAUGAAAUAUGUCAAAAUAUUCUUGACUAAAUACCCUGGGAAGGUCUUCUUUCUAUAAAUGUAUACUUUUGUACACCUGUUCUGCAUUCUGUGACUGUUAGUGUAAAGGUAACAGCAGAUCACAUUUUUCAAAGGUUUAGCUGUAAAAAUGAAUUCACUACUUGCAAUAUAUAUAUCUGACAAUGUCCAAAAAUGAUUUAAUUAUUAGACCUAUAAGGAUUUUUAACAAUCAGGACUAAGUGAAUGCAUUCUGAAUUGUUUUUCUUUAGUAGCACUGCUUCUGUAGAAAUUACUAUAAGCAAAACUAUGAAAAAAAUGUUUUUAUUUAAAAAUUUUGUUCCCAUUUUUAUUUUAUUUAUAUUUAAUUUUGUGUUAUGUAUCCAUAUAGGUUAUCAGAUGGGUAUCUCUAAAAAAAAAAACACAAAAAACCCCCCAAAAAACGAGAGAGUGAGAGAGAGUGCACUUUAAAUUAUAUUGCCAUGUACACAAAAAAGUGCCAAAAAGGCUUUGGUCACUAACGGACAAAAUCUCAGAAACAUUUUGGUCUUGGUCUUGGGAUUAAUGACUACUGUUUGUGGUUUUCAGUUACUGUUCAUGAUGAUUUUUAUAUUUAUGUUCAAGGACAUGGUAGAUAUGUCUCCCCCUAUGGUUGCACUCAAAAAAAAUAAUAAAAGGUCACAGGUUUUUGUUUUUUUUAUCAGAUCCUGUUAACCUUUGCAUCCUGUUUGUGAACUACACUCAAUUACACUUAAAUUAAAACACAUCGUAUAGAAAAAAGAGAAUUUGAAUACGUAAGAAUUUGAAUAUGACGAUCCACUUUAAACUGCAAUUUGAUGUAUUUAAUAUUUAUGAAGACAAUCCUUUGUUUGUCAGUAGAUUGUCUCUACACCAAAAUGCAAUGCUUAAAGGGACACUGUAGGCACCCAGACCACUUCAGCUCAUUGAAGUGGUCUGCGUGUUGUGUCCCUUUUGUUAACAUUGUAACUCUAAGUCUGCCCUCUGUGGCUGUCUAACAGACCGCCACUAGAGGGCUUCCGGAAUCCAAAUGGACUUUUGGUCCGUUAUCUAACGUUGGACGUACUUACGGACCUCCAGCGACAGAUUUUCCCCAUAGGAAAGCAUUGAAUAAUACUUUCCUAUGGGGAAGUCUAAUGCCGCGCAUGCGCACAGGUCUUCCCCGCUGGCUGACGUCGACGGGGGAGGAGCGUGGGUUCUGGAUUCAGGUAAGUGGCUGAAGGGGUUUUAGCCCCUUCUACCCUUCGAGAGGGGGGCCCCGAGGGAGGGGGCACUUCAGGAGCCUAUAGUGCCAGGAAAACAGGUUUGUUUUCCUGGCACUAUAGGAUCCCUUUAACACUGUAACCGAUGGUUUCUCCAUCAGUUGUAAUGAGUUGACAACCAGGUUGCAAAAUUUAUACCAAGGCAGCCAAGUUAGAGAAAUUCUAAAGAUCAAAUGAUUUAGAGUUACAUUUUCAUUGCUACUUUGGCUGCAUGAUAACUUAAAGGAACACUAAUGUCACCUAAAUUACUUUAGCUAAAUAAAACAGUUUUAGUGUAUAGAUCAUUCCCCUGCAAUUUCACUGCUCAAUUCACUGUCAUUUAGGAGUUAAAUCACUUUGUUUCUGUUUAUGCAGCCCUUGCCACACCUCCCCUGGCUAUGAUUGACAGAGCCUGCAUGAAAAAAAAACUGGUUUCACUUUCAAACAGAUGUAAUUUACCUUAACUAAUUGUAUCUCAAUCUCUAAAUUGAACUUUAAUCACAUACAGGAGGCUCUUGCAGGGUCUAGCAAGCUAUUAACAUAGCAGGGGAUAAAAUCUUAAUUAAACAGAACUUGCAAUAAAGAAAGCCUAAAUAGGGCUCUCUUUACAGGAAGUGUUUAUGGAAGGCUGUGCAAGUCACAAGCAGGGAGGUGUGACUAGGGUUCAUAAACAAAGGGAUUUAACUCCUAAAUGGCAGAGGAUUGAGCAGUGAGGCUGCAGGGGCAUGUUCUAUACACCAAAACUGCUUCAUUAAGCUAAAGUUGUUCAGGUGACUAUAGUGUCCCUUUAAUGAUGGUUGAGCAUCUUGGCCAUUGUAGUUCACAAACCUUUUUGGAUGCCGAGAGGAUCCGUCACUGCUCUUUUAAUUUGCGCAAUCCCCUGUUCAAUUUUUUUAAAAUGAUGCUCUUAUGCAUUUGCAAUCAUGCGUGUCCUGGCCAUAGUUUUGUUUUGCUUUCCUUUGAAAUGAACAUUAAGAUCUUUCAAAGUUAAUUUACCAACUUUACUGCAUUCAGAGUGGGUGAAACAGGCUUUAAAACUACCAUACUAGCCCACACACAACAGAAAAGCUUGAACGUGCAAACUACACUGAACAAAAUUAUAAACACAACACUUGUUUUUGUCCCCAUUUUUCACGAACUGAACUCAAAGAUCUAAGACUUUUUUUCUAUGUACACAAAAGGCCUAUUUCUCUUAAAUAUUGUUCACAAAUCUGUCUAAAUCUGUGUUAGUGAGCACUUCUCCUUUGCCGAGAUAAGCCAUCCACCUCACAGGCCACUCUAAAAUUUGCAGUUUUAUCACACAGCACAAUGCUACAGAUGUUGCAAGUUUUGAGGGAGCGUGCAAUUGGCAUGCUGACUGCAGGAAACUUAAAUUGACACUAUAACUUCAAAAAUUGGAAAACUAAAAUUGACAUUUUUGUAAGUUGACCCUAUAACUUCUCAAAAAUCAGGUCUGUGUGUGGGUUGUUGCUGCACCAUGGUAAUAUAAGGCAUUUUAAAAACCAGGACUAAUUACUUAUUAUAUAUUUUGACUUUUAUUUAAUUUUUUUGGUUGCACUAGUUAAAUAGAAAUUAUUGUGAGCAAAACUACGGAAAAAAAUCAAUUUCCUUUUUUUUUCUAAUUUUAAAUAUUUUAUUCAUAAGUAAUCUUGCAAUAUGCAUACAUUAACAGUAUCAGAAGAAUAUGAUGCAUAAUAUGCAUGGGUGUGCGUAUUGAGAAAGCAGAAACAUACAGUGACACAAACAGUGCAAAAAAGGCCUCAGUCACAAACGCACAGUUUUUGGAUAAGCGAGGUUAAAGUGUAAGCAUGAAAAAACAUUUUUUCUUUUAGUUCUUAUUUCUUGCUAUAUUUGUCUAUUUGCCUUUGUAGAUAUUCAUCUUAAAAAUAACACAGACAUGGGUGUUUUCAUUAUAUUUAUAUCUUGUUUUUACUCUUUGUGGGGUUUCUUUUAGAUUUGUGAAUACAAACAAUACCAUGAGAGAGAAAAUGACUGUUCACCGUCCAAGUUCUAAAUAGUGGAGGCAAAGACAAUAAUUCCGCCAUACAUAGCAACACAAAUGCCUACACUCUAUUAAACAUAUUAAAAAAAAAAUGUAAGGUUUUAUUUUAGCUAAAGCACACAAACUAGUCCGUUACAGUCAACAUGACCAUGAAUGGGGAACUUUAGAUACAGAGAUACAAUUUUGAAUGCAAAGUAAGACAUACUAUUCAAAUGUCUGAAAUUUAAACUUAACACGAGACUAGCUUUUUAGUGAAUGAACACAACUUUUUAUUUAUAUUGUCUUAACAUAUGUUACCUGCUCCUCUGUCAUAUGCAGUCUUUUUUUUAUUAUUAUUGUUUUUUUAUUUUGAUUUAUUUACUCCGUUGUCAAAAUGUUUCUGGUAAAUAUAAUAGUGGAAUUGGUAGAUAUUUCACCUACUCCAGUCACUUGCUGAUGCUCAGAUUUGUGCUUUACUUUUUUACAUGAGGUUUACAAAGUAUUGAAAGUGAUACAUUAUGUGUUUUAAAUGGUUACUCUAAGCAUCAGAACUACUAUAGCCUGCCGCAGCCCGAUUGCCUGGUAAAUGGUUUAGUAAUAGUUUGCCUCUCUUUCCUGGGUCCCCACAAGGCUCUUAUGUUCCCUGGUAGUCCAAUGACAUGAUGGUUGGUUGCAAAGUGUCUGCUGACUGCUCUCAGCCAAUGACUGUCAUUCUGUGCAACUAAAGUUGCACAGAAUUGACAUUAGCCAGCGUGGUACUCUAGUUCUGGGUUGGCUGAUGAUACCUCUAUGACGUUACCAGAGGUGGAGUUACACCUACAGCAGCAGAGGAGUUAAUCUCUAUAUGUGCAGGGUUUCAUAUUGAAAAGCUGUACGUCCAGAAUCCAGGCACCAUGACCACUUCAAAUCAAUGGAGUGGUCAUGGUGCUUGGAGUAACCCUGUUGCUAUAUAUUAUGGGGUCUAAAAAUAACAAACGCUUGAAGGAGAUUCAGAGACCUGGCAAGGAUUUUCAGGUGGAAAGUUAUUUUGGAAUGUUUCAUCUGUAGACGUUAUAACACCGACAAUGUUAGGUGUCUGUUCAUAUGUGAAUCUCCUUCCUCAUUGUCUGUAGUUCAAUGUUUGCCUUUUAAUAUUAUGAAAUAGAUUUCUCGGUAACAAUCACAUUAAUUUUGAAUAAACCCAUUUGCCUUGCCCUCUUUGAGCAGAUGAUACAGUUUGCAACCCAUUCUGGUAUCAGCUUUUACCUUACUCACCGAACCAAACUGCUUAAUUGUACAUUUAAGAUGUUAUGUAAGUGGGAGCUAAUGCAUUCAUACCUUCAAACAGUUUAUUCCAACACAUUGUUUCAAACCUUGGUCUGCUAAGUUCUUCAGAGAAUAAUAAAAAAAAAACGCACAAGUGCAUCGCCUACAUAAGUGCGCCUGCUUUUGAUGUCCUUAUUAACAGUGAAGCUCUGAACUUUACUGGUACGUUAUUUUAGUACAUAUUAAAGUUGAUUGACCUGCAAUAGUCUGGCUUGACAAAAAUUUCCAAAAUUUGCUAAAAUGUCAGAAACCACAAUUUUUUUUUUUAAAGAUGUCAGUUUCUGGAAUUUUAAAACUACUUUUUGAAAUAUUCCUGGACAAGGUCUACCUUUAAUAUUUUUGUGCAUUUAAAAAAUAAUAUAUAUAUAUUAUGUUUAGAGUUUUGCUAUUACCAAAUAUGCACAUUCCUGAUGGAUAUAAAGUCAUACUUGCAAUGUAUAUAUGCUGUGUAUUUCUCUCUUGAUGCAUCUAUCAAUAUAAUGUCUCAUUUUUAUUAUUGGAAUUUUGCACAGAUUGUAUUUUUAAUUGUUCCAGUGGUUGUAUAAUGGGUAUUACUGUUUUUACAUGUUCGAUGUUAUAUUAUGCUUAUUUAAAGAAGACAUUAUUGUACUCUUUUUUUCUUCCUAUGUUUUUUUUUUCAUUGUUGGAAGUUAGUGCCUAUGCAUAUAUAGCACUUACAAGUUUAUUAAUUUCUGCAUUAAAACCUGAAAAAUUGUAUUCACAUCUGUUGAUGACUCAGUGCUGUUUUUAGUACAUUUGAAAGCCACAUAUAACUAUAAUUCCAAUGAUGCCUCUAGUUGUAGCACAUCUUUUAACUGGCAGUAUGCAUGGGUAAUUAUUAAAAGGGGAACUUGGAAGUGACCCCAUUUUUUAAUGUAUGAUAUUGAUAAUUAAUAAAAGAUUUGCAAAAAAAUGUAAAACACUUAAAAUAAAACGUACUUUUAAGGUUUCUGAAUUUUGUGCUAUCCCCUAGAUAUUAUAGCAAUCAACCUUUAGAUCUAACUUUCCCAGGAAGCUAACCGUUCUGCCCACGUAGUCUUGACGGUUGGACAAAUUUAACCCAUCGCUACAAGUGUAGAAGUGCAGACUAGAUACUAGUCAUGACCAACCAGGGCACUGAGGGAGGCAUCACAAGUGAUGUCCAGAUGUCCAUUCCAUCACCAGUAGAUUUCAAAAGCACUUUGCCAGUCUGUGGUUUGAAGUUUCUACUUAUGAAGGCUGUCAACUGAACUACAUCUCCCAGAAGCAUUUACUGUUCAUGCAAAUAUUUUACAGAAAGGCUGCUAAUUAUUCAGGGCUAAUUUUUAGGUCAAAAGUUUUAAAUUGCAUAAACAUUGUUUUGGUACAUGGAGUGUCGCUACACAAUUAUACCCAUAAUAUUUGUUGUACU